AGGGAUUUAGCUUAGUGCUCUAAGUGCCUGCCUGAUAAGCAUGAGGUUGUGAGUUCAAUCCCUG
RNAcentral lists this transfer RNA (64 nucleotides) under Cavia porcellus (domestic guinea pig). It matches the Rfam family "tRNA". Rfam says of the family: Transfer RNA (tRNA) molecules are approximately 80 nucleotides in length. Their secondary structure includes four short double-helical elements and three loops (D, anti-codon, and T loops). Further hydrogen bonds mediate the characteristic L-shaped molecular structure. tRNAs have two regions of fundamental functional importance: the anti-codon, which is responsible for specific mRNA codon recognition, and the 3' end, to which the tRNAs corresponding amino acid is attached (by aminoacyl-tRNA synthetases). tRNAs cope with the degeneracy of the genetic code in two manners: having more than one tRNA (with a specific anti-codon) for a particular amino acid; and 'wobble' base-pairing, i.e. permitting non-standard base-pairing at the 3rd anti-codon position. Lineage: Eukaryota; Metazoa; Chordata; Mammalia; Rodentia; Caviidae. The record is from Rfam by way of RNAcentral.